Molecule: ribosomal RNA, 459 nt
Filed under: uncultured bacterium
Lineage: Bacteria
Description: partial 16S ribosomal RNA
Rfam family: Bacterial small subunit ribosomal RNA
Source: RNAcentral
CCUACGGGCGGCUGCAGUGAGGAAUAUUGGUCAAUGGCCGAGAGGCUGAACCAGCCAAGCCGCGUGAGGGAAGAAUGUCCUAUGGAUUGUAAACCUCUUUUGUCAGGGAGCAAAGUCACCCACGUGUGGGCGUUGGAGAGUACCUGAAGAAAAAGCAUCGGCUAACUCCGUGCCAGCAGCCGCGGUAAUACGGAGGAUGCGAGCGUUAUCCGGAUUUAUUGGGUUUAAAGGGUGCGUAGGCGGGUUGUAAAGUCAGCGGUAAAAUCGUGGAGCUCAACCCCAUCCAGCCGUUGAAACUGAUGGUCUUGAGUGGGCGAGAAGUAUGCGGAAUGCGUGGUGUAGCGGUGAAAUGCAUAGAUAUCACGCAGAACUCCGAUUGCGAAGGCAGCAUACCGGCGCCCGACUGACGCUGAGGCACGAAAGCGUGGGUAUCGAACAGGAUUAGAUACCCGAGUAGUC